Molecule: long non-coding RNA, 539 nt
Filed under: Elaeis guineensis (African oil palm)
Lineage: Eukaryota; Viridiplantae; Streptophyta; Magnoliopsida; Arecales; Arecaceae
Description: long non-coding RNA (EGUI_LNC046553)
Source: RNAcentral
AAGUUCUGGUGUAGUCGCACACGUGUCCGAUCUCUACGAGUAUCCAUAUAAGGCUUGAUCUGAUUGAAGGCUCUUUGAUCUCUCUGGAGUGCUAGCUCCUUUGCAAAGAUUACUUCCUUGAUGGUUAAAUUUGAUCUCCUUCAAUCUCUAAGACCCUCUCAAGAAAGAAGAAGAAAUAGGAGGAAGAAGAAGACUUUAGAGAGGUGAGAACCCUUCUAACCCUUCCCUCUUUCUCCUUAGGAUUUUCUCACGCCCAAGGAGAUCCCACGCCCAAGCUUUCACGCCCAAAGAGUUGUGAUUUUUUUUUCUCCACGCCCUCUAGGUCCUUUUUAUAGAUGGCAUCUAUAGUUUGAUUAAGACUAAAUUUGACAGAAUUAAAUCUAAUCAAAGUAGGACUCCAACUUUGAUCCAAUCAAAACUAGAUCAAAUCUGAUUUAAUCCUCAUCCAAAAAGGGAAUAAGAGAGGAGGCAUGGAAGGGCUUGGGCUGAUCCAUUCACAUGUCAAAUCCAAUUUGGCAUGGAGCUUAGGUGGCGUAAGG